UACGGAGGAUCCGAGCGUUAUCCGGAUUUAUUGGGUUUAAAGGGUGCGCAGGCGGAAGAUUAAGUCGGUGGUGAAAUUUUGUAGCUCAACUGUAAAAGUGCCAUUGAUACUGGUUUUCUUGAGUGUGGAUGAAGUAGGCGGAAUUUGUGGUGUAGCGGUGAAAUGCAUAGAUAUCACGAGGAACUCCGAUUGCGCAGGCAGCUUACUAAACUACUACUGACGCUCAGGCACGAAGGCGUGGGGAUCAAACAGGAUUAGAUACCCCCGUAGU
Molecule: ribosomal RNA, 271 nt
Filed under: uncultured prokaryote
Description: partial 16S ribosomal RNA
Rfam family: Bacterial small subunit ribosomal RNA
Source: RNAcentral